This 502-nucleotide ribosomal RNA is filed under the name uncultured bacterium. Its description in RNAcentral is "partial 16S ribosomal RNA". It matches the Rfam family "Bacterial small subunit ribosomal RNA", at positions 30 to 523 of the family's 1533-position model. The record is from RNAcentral.
AUUGAACGCUGGCGGCAGGCUUAACACAUGCAAGUCGAGCGGGGUGAUGGUGCUUGCACUAUCACUUAGCGGCGGACGGGUGAGUAAUGCUUAGGAAUCUGCCUAUUAGUGGGGGACAACAUCUCGAAAGGGAUGCUAAUACCGCAUACGUCCUACGGGAGAAAGCAGGGGAUCACUUGUGACCUUGCGCUAAUAGAUGAGCCUAAGUCGGAUUAGCUAGUUGGUGGGGUAAAGGCCUACCAAGGCGACGAUCUGUAGCGGGUCUGGGAGGAGGAUCCGCCACACUGGGACUGAGACACGGCCCAGACUCCGACGGGAGGCAGCAGUGGGAAUAUUGGACAAUGGGGGGAACCCUGAUCCAGCCAUGCCGCGUGUGUGAAGAAGGCCUUAUGGUUGUAAAGCACUUUAAGCGAGGAGGAGGCUCUUUUGGUUAAUACCCAAGAUGAGUGGACGUUACUCGCAGAAUAAGCACCGGCUAACUCUGUGCCAGCAGCCGCAGUAA